GAGUUUGAUCAUGGCUCAGAUUGAACGCUGGCGGCAGGCUUAACACAUGCAAGUCGAGCGGAGAUGAGGUGCUUGCACCUUAUCUUAGCGGCGGACGGGUGAGUAAUGCUUAGGAAUCUGCCUAUUAGUGGGGGACAACAUUCCGAAAGGAAUGCUAAUACCGCAUACGUCCUACGGGAGAAAGCAGGGGAUCUUCGGACCUUGCGCUAAUAGAUGAGCCUAAGUCGGAUUAGCUAGUUGGUGGGGUAAAGGCCUACCAAGGCGACGAUCUGUAGCGGGUCUGAGAGGAUGAUCCGCCACACUGGGACUGAGACACGGCCCAGACUCCUACGGGAGGCAGCAGUGGGGAAUAUUGGACAAUGGGGGGAACCCUGAUCCAGCCAUGCCGCGUGUGUGAAGAAGGCCUUAUGGUUGUAAAGCACUUUAAGCGAGGAGGAGGCUACUGAGACUAAUACUCUUGGAUAGUGGACGUUACUCGCAGAAUAAGCACCGGCUAACUCUGUGCCAGCAGCCGCGGUAAUACAGAGGGUGCGAGCGUUAAUCGGAUUUACUGGGCGUAAAGCGUGCGUAGGCGGCUUUUUAAGUCGGAUGUGAAAUCCCCGAGCUUAACUUGGGAAUUGCAUUCGAUACUGGGAAGCUAGAGUAUGGGAGAGGAUGGUAGAAUUCCAGGUGUAGCGGUGAAAUGCGUAGAGAUCUGGAGGAAUACCGAUGGCGAAGGCAGCCAUCUGGCCUAAUACUGACGCUGAGGUACGAAAGCAUGGGGAGCAAACAGGAUUAGAUACCCUGGUAGUCCAUGCCGUAAACGAUGUCUA
Molecule: ribosomal RNA, 812 nt
Filed under: uncultured bacterium
Lineage: Bacteria
Description: bacterial SSU rRNA
Rfam family: Bacterial small subunit ribosomal RNA
Source: RNAcentral